AUGCUCGAGCCCCGAAGAAGGGUUCUGGUGGCGAUGUCGACGGUCGUCGAGACGUUCGUGGACUGGACGGUGUCGUGGCUACCAAUGUACGGAGAGGCGAAGCUGCUGCUCGUCAUCUACCUCUGGCACCCCAGCACACGGCGUGCGGGGCACGUGUACGAUGGCUUCCUCCAUCUGCUGGUGGCGUGGCACGAGGCCGACAUCGACCGGGGCCUGCUUGAGCUGAGGGCUGGGGCGAGGGAUGUGACGACGUCACAACUCAAGGCGGCGGCUGCCAUCGGUCAAGUGUGGUUAGUCGAGGCUCCCCGUUGUGUUUCGUCGCAGUUACAGGCCGCGAGAUCAAGCCGGAAAGGCGCCACACAUUGA
This 366-nucleotide ribosomal RNA is filed under the name Triticum aestivum (bread wheat). RNAcentral's name for it is "partial small subunit ribosomal RNA". The record is from RNAcentral. Lineage: Eukaryota; Viridiplantae; Streptophyta; Magnoliopsida; Poales; Poaceae.